UGAGCAACGUUUGUGUGUCGCUGGGAUGUGAUAACAGAGCUUGUUAUUCUAUCCCGCAGUCUGUUGCAGUUUUAGGAUGCAAUUUCCGCAGAUUCCGUGAGGAACAUUGCAUCACAAAGGCCUGCUCUUGCAGGGCCUGAGGGAGUUUCCCCCACGCUUUUAUGGCUCCGCACUGAAUGAACUUUUCUUGGCUGUUUCACCCGUCAGCCUUUAAAGUCCACUGGUGAAUGUUGGUUGGCUUUCUCUGCGCUAAACUGGACCAUUCAGCGGCAAUUACAGUCCUUAAUCACCAUGAGAAAUUUGAGGGAAAGGUAGACCUUCCAAAAUGCUGUCAAUGCAGCAGCAGGAGAGAUUGAGGACAGCAGGCCAUUGGAAGACACACAAGAAAACAAAAGGGACUCGGAUCUUGGGCUGGCCCCUGAGUCUGCGUGAACAGG
This is a non-coding RNA of Equus caballus (horse), 437 nucleotides long. Lineage: Eukaryota; Metazoa; Chordata; Mammalia; Perissodactyla; Equidae. The record is from RefSeq and is a predicted model, not a curated record.